UGAUUUAUGGAUGGUAAACAGUUGGCAGAAAAAGACAAGACACUGACGAGAGUAGGCAAAGACGUGGUAAACGCCCAUUUCUCUUGCAAUAUUUCUAACACCAUCGGCUCUGAGAUCAGUCUGCCUGUUCAACAAAUCUGCUAUAAGCCCGUUUUUCCCUGAAACAAUGACAGAAAUCUGGCUUUUACUGGGUUGUGGAGCAGUUACUCUUCUGAUCAUCCUAAUUGUCAUCGUUUGUUGUGUCAGCACCAGACCAAAAGAGCAUGUGCUGCCAAACGAGGGUUCUGCUGCUGACACACAGUCUGGCAAUGCGUCCAAUCAAAGGCUCUGGACCUUCAUGAAGAUAUAUAUGAAUCUCCAGUAAGUGUUCCUCAACCUCACCCCCACCUACCUCAGGCUCCUUCUCCAUCAGAGAGGUGAUGCUCUGGGUAUUUAAAGCCAGUGUUACUAGCCGGAGAUCGGACCAGAGCCUCCACCCCAAACUGCUGCCGAACACCUGCAAUAGCUCCUGUUGGUGGUCGGUCCACCAGAGAUUAAUUUUAAUAAUAAUUUCUAAUUUAACAGUCAUUUUAUUUUUUUAAUACAAAUUUUUGAAUAUGAUGGCACAUAAAGGUCUUUAAAUGUAUGAAAUGUGUAUGUAUGUCUGUAAAUUAUUGAGUGACCUGUACAGUGAUUGAUUUACAUCUUAAGAUGUAUGUUUUAUCUUUGUUUUAAUUAAGUUAAAUUAAGUUAAAUCAUUGUUACUUUUUCUGACAUUAAACAUAAGUAAACAAGUAAUAAAACACAGAUUUAGAUUUUUUUUAAUGCAAAAAAAAUUGGAUAAUUACAAGUGUGCCUAAUUUAGCAGUUUCUGUCUAUUUUAAAAUGUAAACUGUGACGUGUAUAUAAAUAAAAUGAAUGGGUACAC
This is a long non-coding RNA of Astatotilapia calliptera (eastern happy), 907 nucleotides long. Lineage: Eukaryota; Metazoa; Chordata; Actinopteri; Cichliformes; Cichlidae. The record is from Ensembl.